RNAcentral lists this transfer RNA (93 nucleotides) under Deinococcus malanensis. Its description in RNAcentral is "tRNA-Arg". The record is from RNAcentral. Lineage: Bacteria; Thermotogati; Deinococcota; Deinococci; Deinococcales; Deinococcaceae.
UGCGCGCUGGCAUGGUGGCAAUGCGGCCGCCUGCGCCGCGACGCGUAGGCGAUUUCAGGCGCGCCGGCCUAAGUUAUUUUCUCUGGUCCGCAG